AGUAACACGUGGGUGAUCUGCCUUGCACUUCGGGAUAAGCCUGGGAAACUAGGUCUAAUACCGGAUAUGACCUGAGAAUGCAUGUUCUUGGGUGGAAAGAUUUAUCGGUGCGAGAUGGGCCCGCGGCCUAUCAGCUUGUUGGUGAGGUAACGGCUCACCAAGGCGACGACGGGUAGCCGACCUGAGAGGGUGACCGGCCACACUGGGACUGAGACACGGCCCAG
This 224-nucleotide ribosomal RNA is filed under the name uncultured bacterium. RNAcentral describes it as "partial 16S ribosomal RNA". It matches the Rfam family "Bacterial small subunit ribosomal RNA", at positions 109 to 334 of the family's 1533-position model. The record is from RNAcentral.